GGGCCCGCACAAGCGGUGGAUUAUGUGGAUUAAUUCGAUGCAACGCGAAAAACCUUACCAGGGUUUGACAUCCUGCGAAUCUCUUGGAAACGAGAGAGUGCCUUCGGGAGCGCAGUGACAGGUGGUGCAUGGCUGUCGUCAGCUCGUGUCGUGAGAUGUUGGGUUAAGUCCCGCAACGAGCGCAACCCACGUCUUUAGUUGCCAGCAUUUAGUUGGGCACUCUAGAGAGACCGCCGGUGAUAAACCGGAGGAAGGUGUGGAUGACGUCAAGUCAUCAUGCCCCUUACAUCCUGGGCUACACACGUACUACAAUGCUACGGACAAAGGGCAGCAAGUUCGCGAGGACAAGCAAAUCCCAUAAACCGUGGCUCAGUUCAGAUCGUAGGCUGCAACUCGCCUACGUGAAGGAGGAAUC
RNAcentral lists this ribosomal RNA (415 nucleotides) under uncultured bacterium. RNAcentral describes it as "bacterial SSU rRNA". It matches the Rfam family "Bacterial small subunit ribosomal RNA", at positions 917 to 1333 of the family's 1533-position model. The record is from RNAcentral.